This 382-nucleotide ribosomal RNA is filed under the name uncultured bacterium. Its description in RNAcentral is "bacterial SSU rRNA". It matches the Rfam family "Bacterial small subunit ribosomal RNA", at positions 29 to 416 of the family's 1533-position model. The record is from RNAcentral.
AUUGAACGCUGGCGGCGUGCCUAACACAUGCAAGUCGAGCGGCAGCGCGGGAGCAAUCCUGGCGGCGAGCGGCGGACGGGUGAGUAAUGCUUGGGAAUCUGCCUGUUAGUGGGGGACAACCCGGGGAAACUCGGGCUAAUACCGCAUACGCACUACGGUGGAAAGCCGGGGACCGCAAGGCCUGGCGCUAACAGAUGAGCCCAAGUCGGAUUAGCUAGUUGGUAGGUAACGGCCACCAAGGCGACGAUCCGUAACUGGUCUGAGGGGACGACCAGUCACACCGGAACUGAGACGCGGUCCGGACUCCUACGGGAGGCAGCAGUGGGAAUAUUGGACAAUGGGGAAACCCUGAUCCAGCGACGCCGCGUGGGUGAAGAAGCCU